RNAcentral lists this small RNA (308 nucleotides) under Arabidopsis thaliana (thale cress). RNAcentral's name for it is "ATSL271940". The record is from RNAcentral. Lineage: Eukaryota; Viridiplantae; Streptophyta; Magnoliopsida; Brassicales; Brassicaceae.
UAUAACAACUAAAAUUGCAACAAGAUCUUAAAAGCCUAAGUCUUGUAUCCUUGUUAGAAGAUACAAAGACAAAGACUAAUACGAACUUCAGCUACAGCAUCAAAGCGUUGAGAAGCAAGAAGAAGUAUGGUUAGUGUUUUGGAGUCAAAUAUGACUUGAUGUGAUGUGUAUGAUUGAGUAUAAGAACUUAAAUCGCAACUGGAUCCUAAAAGCCUAAGUAGUGUUUCCUUGUUAGUUGAUACAAAUAAAAAGACUCAUACAGACUGCAGCUACACCAUUAAAGCUUUGAGAAGCAAAAAGAGGCUUGG